RNAcentral lists this long non-coding RNA (775 nucleotides) under Ananas comosus (pineapple). RNAcentral's name for it is "long non-coding RNA (ACOM_LNC005732)". Lineage: Eukaryota; Viridiplantae; Streptophyta; Magnoliopsida; Poales; Bromeliaceae. The record is from RNAcentral.
UACCAAUUGUUGGAAAUCCAGCACUUGCCCCGGUACCGGAUAUUGAGAAUCUGCAAUCCGCUCCAAUACCGACUCCUGUUGAUUUGGUAUCGGUUGUUGGGAUUCUGCAACAGAAGUGUCAAAUCGAAUUUUUACCAUAAACCCGUCUCCUCGGCAAAAACUGAUACAAUCAUAAAAAAGAUAAAACAAUUAAACAAAAAAUAUGUAGGUAAAAUAAGAUUUAUUAAAUAAUAGAAGAUUACACAUGAUUUUUCUUCUGUAAUAGAGUAGUUAAACCUGAGCCCUCUUUUUGAAUCUCUCAUACCUUUCUCUCAUCUUCUAUAAACUCAGAAGACAUUUCUCUAAUCCUGUGCACCUGUGCACAAGGUAUACCAAUGACCAACGGCUACGAAAGCCACUCACGUCCUUUUGCACCCAUACAUUAGGUGCAUUCAAAAUCAUGACAACUUUGGCCAUGCCAUAUGGGUGUGGCUAAUCUGUACCAUCAUCACCAUAAUAAUAGCACAUAUGGUAUAUUUAUAACUUACAUUGAAAGCUACCCAAAUCCUAAUCCAAUUAGAUUUCUACUCUAAUUAAUAUUUAAAUCUUAAUUUAUCUUCAAUAUUUUUAAAUAUUAAUCCUAAUCCAAUUAGGAUUCAAUUACUAAUCUAACCAAAUCUUAGCACAUAGUGCCUAUGUGCUUUAUAUUUGCAUGAAAUUAAGUUAAAAAAGAAGUUAUAAAAAUGUGAUUAUGAGAUUAUUUGUAUGUGCAUGUUUUUAUUUAUGAUCAGUAUGU